RNAcentral lists this ribosomal RNA (253 nucleotides) under uncultured bacterium. Its description in RNAcentral is "partial 16S ribosomal RNA". It matches the Rfam family "Bacterial small subunit ribosomal RNA", at positions 524 to 776 of the family's 1533-position model. The record is from RNAcentral.
UACGUAGGGUGCAAGCGUUAAUCGGAAUUACUGGGCGUAAAGCGUGCGCAGGCGGUUUUGUAAGUCUGUCGUGAAAUCCCCGGGCUCAACCUGGGAAUUGCGAUGGAGACUGCAAGGCUAGAGUUUGGCAGAGGGGGGUAGAAUUCCACGUGUAGCAGUGAAAUGCGUAAAGAUGUGGAGGAACACCGAUGGCGAAGGCAGCCCCCUGGGUCAAAACUGACGCUCAUGCACGAAAGCGUGGGGAGCAAACAGG